RNAcentral lists this transfer RNA (89 nucleotides) under Danio rerio (zebrafish). It matches the Rfam family "tRNA". From Rfam's summary of the family: Transfer RNA (tRNA) molecules are approximately 80 nucleotides in length. Their secondary structure includes four short double-helical elements and three loops (D, anti-codon, and T loops). Further hydrogen bonds mediate the characteristic L-shaped molecular structure. tRNAs have two regions of fundamental functional importance: the anti-codon, which is responsible for specific mRNA codon recognition, and the 3' end, to which the tRNAs corresponding amino acid is attached (by aminoacyl-tRNA synthetases). tRNAs cope with the degeneracy of the genetic code in two manners: having more than one tRNA (with a specific anti-codon) for a particular amino acid; and 'wobble' base-pairing, i.e. permitting non-standard base-pairing at the 3rd anti-codon position. Lineage: Eukaryota; Metazoa; Chordata; Actinopteri; Cypriniformes; Danionidae. The record is from Rfam by way of RNAcentral.
GGCUCUGUGGUGCAAUGGAUAGCGCAUUGGACUUCUAGGCUGUGAGCUGAGCCAUUCAAAGGUUGUGGGUUCGAGUCCCGCCAGAGUUG